CCUGUUACAACCUGACAAGAAGAACGCAAAACAGCAAAAAAACCUUCUUCCUGGAAGAUUUUUGGCCGUCUUUCAGUUUCAUGCUCUCCUCCUGCUUCCUUUCCUCCCUCCUUUCCUACUAUUAAACCCCGGCGGCACUUCCUCAACUGGUCGGGAUUUGAAUUUGGUGGAGAGAGUUGAGAAAUUGGAGGAGGAUCUGAGAAGCUCUGCAACAAUAAUACGGGGCUUGUCGCGGUAGCUCGAGAAGCUCGGGAUUAGGUUUCGGCUUACUCGGAAAGCAUUGAAAGAACCAAUAGCUGAGACUGCAGUCUUGGCUCAGAAGAAUUCAGAGGCCACCCGUGCAUUAGCAGCUCAAGAGGACAUUCUUGAGAAGGAGCUGGGUGAAAUUCAAAAGGUUUUGCAGGCUAUGCAAGUAAUUUAUUGUGACGUGAAAAUGUAAUACAUAGUUUACUUGGAGACUGAAUAUUCAGAUGUCAGUUGACUUGUGGAGUACUUGAAUAACUCCAAAAACAGUCUUUAGUAUGUUAGGAUCAUCGGGAAAUUUUUUCCUAUGCUGUUGAUUGUGUCGAAGUUGUUUAAACAUUGUUUUUUUUUUCUGUUUUUGGCAUUAAUUUUAUAAUUUCAGAAUUUGAGCCGGGCCAGUAACUUCUACUUGUCUCUGCUCUUCUUUGUUUUA
This is a non-coding RNA of Punica granatum (pomegranate), 676 nucleotides long. NCBI's taxonomy places the organism in Eukaryota, Viridiplantae, Streptophyta, Magnoliopsida, Myrtales, Lythraceae. The record is from RefSeq and is a predicted model, not a curated record.